UCCCAUGUGGCUCAGUUGGUAGAGCAUGGUGUUUGCAACGCCAGGGUUGUGGGUUCGAUUCUCACAGGGGAC
Molecule: non-coding RNA, 72 nt
Organism: Salmo salar (Atlantic salmon)
Lineage: Eukaryota; Metazoa; Chordata; Actinopteri; Salmoniformes; Salmonidae
Source: Rfam